This 378-nucleotide RNase P RNA is filed under the name Actinomycetota bacterium. RNAcentral describes it as "RNase P RNA component class A". It matches the Rfam family "Bacterial RNase P class A". From Rfam's summary of the family: Ribonuclease P (RNase P) is a ubiquitous endoribonuclease, found in archaea, bacteria and eukarya as well as chloroplasts and mitochondria. Lineage: Bacteria; Bacillati; Actinomycetota. The record is from RNAcentral.
UGAGCCGGCCGGGUGGCCGCGGCACGGCUUGGUCCUGGACCGGGACCGUGUCGAGGAAGGUCGGGACUCCACAGGGCAGGGUGCUGGCCAACAGCCAGUCGGGGCGACCCGAAGGACAGUGCCACAGAGAGCAGACCGCCGAUGGCGGUCCCGGAAGCGGGAUCGCACAGGCAAGGGUGAAACGGUGCGGUAAGAGCGCACCAGCGUCCGGGGUGACCCGGACGGCUCGGUAAACCCCACCCGGAGCAAGGCCGAACAGGGGACAUGGGCUGCCCGUCCCGCCGGCACCCGCCGGCGAUCCCCAGGUGGGCCGCACAGAUGGAUGGCCACCGGCGCCGAUCGGCGUCACAGAAUCCCGCCUACAGGCCGGCUCACCGU